UACGGAGACUGCGAGCGUUACUCGGAUUCACUGGGCGUAAAGGGUGCGUAGGCGGCAUUGUGUGUCAGGUGUGAAAUCCCGGAGCUUAACUCCGGAACUGCGCCUGAAACUGCAUUGCUAGAGUAUCGGAGGGGUAAGCGGAAUUCCUAGUGUAGCGGUGAAAUGCGUAGAUAUUAGGAGGAACACCAAAGGCGAAGGCAGCUUACUGGACGAUAACUGACGCUGAGGCACGAAAGCGUGGGGAGCAAAAGGG
RNAcentral lists this ribosomal RNA (253 nucleotides) under uncultured bacterium. Its description in RNAcentral is "partial 16S ribosomal RNA". It matches the Rfam family "Bacterial small subunit ribosomal RNA", at positions 524 to 776 of the family's 1533-position model. The record is from RNAcentral.